UUGUGUCUUUUUGUAUUAUCUAUUGUCUCUAUCAGAUGUAUAACUGUACUUUUGUAUUUACUACAGAGAGAAAGAUGAAGCUGUAGCAAUAGAGGAAGGGAGAAUACUGAAGAAAAAUAAGAUUAAACCUGCAGCACCAAAGUAAAACAGACCCUGGAAUCAAGACCUCUCCAGGGUUCCUGUUGGCUACUCUACCAAUGACUGCACUACUUCCGUCCACCUAACAUCACCU
Molecule: long non-coding RNA, 232 nt
Organism: Xenopus tropicalis (tropical clawed frog)
Lineage: Eukaryota; Metazoa; Chordata; Amphibia; Anura; Pipidae
Exons: 3
Source: RefSeq, a predicted model, not a curated record